ACGCUCAGUUGCGGCUUGGACAUUGACCAAUACGGACGUGUUUUUAAAGCGCUCUGAAAAAAGUUUUGACUUUUAAAUUUUUUUUACUACGACAGAAUCUUAGUUGACUGAUGGUCUUUGACAAAGACAGACUUGUUUUUGUGAGCUCUGAAAAAAAUUUGACUUUGAAAUAUUUUUACGAUUAAAAAGUUUCAGUUGACUUUUGAACGUUGACGAAGACGGACGUACUUUCGUGAGCUCUGACUAUUGAUGAAAAGUUUUCGCGUUAUAGAAUAGCGACUUGGUACUCAGGUUGUUGAAUGACUGGAUGACUGAAGUGUUAGGUUAUUGUUAUGAGAUAACAACUUGACUUUGACUUGAGUUGUGAAAUGAAAUCAUACUCUUAUGCGAUGUUAACUUUUGAACGUUUAGUAUUGACUGACAACGAAAUUUUGUGAGCGUUAUAUAUGAAAUGUUUGACUUACAUUAAUUUUUUUGAACGACUUGACUUCACUUUAAGUUUUGACAUCGGACUGAUCGGACGUGUUUUUUUAAGCUCUGACUGUUGUGAAUAAUUAAAUUUAUGUUGUGGUGUCAAGCGAUUGACUGUCAGUUGAGGUUCAGAUGUCGAGCUGUGCGGACGUGUUCAUCGAGCUGCUGUCUACAAAAAACGGGGCUGUGGUGAGUAUUGUAGUAUAAAUUUGUUUCAAUAAAUCAUGAUGAAUGAAAACUGAUUUCGAUUCGUUUUGUACAGGUUUACUUGUAUAGAAGUGUAAUGCGUUGGGUAGAAAUUAGAAUCUACUCAGUACUGAUAUAGUGUCGAUAUGUUGUGAUUAGCGAUGAUGGUGUAUGAUGGUGGAACAGAACAUGAGCUACUUUGGGGAAACGAACAUAUGAUUGAAAAAAAUUUGCAAACAUAGUAGAUAAAUGAUAUGAUAUUGCUUAAAUUGUAUUUGCAUGCUGUAACAUUUCUAUUUCAUUUCAGGGUGCUGUGGUGAGUACUGUAGAUUGUAGUGCAUAUGUAUAGAAUUCAAUAAACGAUGAUGAAUGAAAACUGAUUUCGAUUCGUUUUGUGUAAUUUUAGGUAUUUUCACUCUAUCACAACUCUGUCGGUUGGUGUUCAUGAGUGUGAGACUAAUACAGCAAUGUUUGAGUAGUACAAAAAUGUUUUCGCUUUUGUGGUCGCCAGCUGUCCGUGAUCUGUAAAGUGAAAAUACACAGAGCUAUGAAGCAUACAGAUGUUUCGAAAUUUUAUCAAUGAUUGUAUACUAUGCAUGUUUUGAUUUAGUUCGUUUCAGAUUUGACAUGAGAUGAAAACCUGAUAUGAUUUGAACAGAGCUGGGAAAUGAAAAGAUUUUCAGAUGUGUGCUGGCAGUUCAAGUCUGGCAGCUGGAGUGAACAGUCGUGUUUUCUGGAGCUCCAACAAUAUGCUAGAAGGAGUGCUUAUCCAGUGAUGAUAUGACAGUUGGAGUGAACAGUGGAGCCAAGCAGUCUUGUUUUUGGAGCUACUCAACAAGCCUUGAAGGUAAGUUUAGAAUUUCUCAAUGUUAGUGAAUUGAAGUACUGUCACUUGCUUUUGGACAGUCGAACAGAACAGACGUGGUUGCGAGAGCUCUCAUAUCUGUUGUGUUAAACUGUUUUUAUGAUAUGUUAUGUUUGUUUGUUUGUUUGUGAUGUACUAUUUUUCAGAUGCUGAUGGCAGUGAUGGGUUUUCAAGCUGACCUGAACAGAAAAGCACUCAUAUGGUAAGUACAAAAUAGUUGUUAUAUGGGAUGUUUUGUGCAUGCUUUUAUGUUUCAGGUGUACUUGCUGACAGCGACGAAGACGAAUCAAGAAGAGGAACAUUGUUGAGAAAGUGAUUGGGACUUGCAAACAGGAUUCGAGUCACUGGUUUACACAUGGAAGAAGAUUUCCACGUCUGUUACUCAACUCUACAGAAGCAAGAUGUUUUGUUUCAGUUGAUGUCCAGAUGGCAAGCAGUACAGACGUGUUUCUUGGAGCUGCCAAACAGGAGCUGUGGUAAGUAUUGUAGUAUUAAUUUGUCUCAAUAAACGAUGAUGAAUGAAAACUGAUGUCGAUUCUUUUUGUACAGUUUUAGGUAUUAGCACUCUAUACAAAACUCUGUCGGUCGGUGUUUGUGAAUGUGAGCUUAAUCUUUGAGUAGAACAAAAAUGUCUUUACUUUUGUGAUCGCCAGUUGUCUGUGAUGUAAAGUGGAAAAAACACAGCUAUGAAGCAUACAAUUGUUUCAAUAUUUUAUCAAUGAUAGUGUGCUAUGCAUGUUUUGAUUUAGUUCGUUUCAGAUACGACAUGACAUGAAGAGUUGACAGUCGAACAGAGCUGAGCAAAGCAGAAAGGUAAGUGUGUUUCAUUUUAGUAUGAACACUUGUAUUUUGUUUUUAUAUGGUAUGUUUUGUGCAUGCUAUGUUUCAGGUGUACUUGUAGUCAGCGACGAAGACGAUUCAAGAAGAGAAACAUUGCUGAGAAAGUGAAUGGGACUUGCAAACAGGGUAAGUGUUACAAUUGUGUUUGUUUGAUUUUUGCCAUGCAUACUUUGCUUUGCUCUGUUUCAGAUUUCACAUGCAGAAAUGGUCUCAUAGCAGUGCCAACAGUGAAUAAGGAUUUCAGCUGCUGUGAAACAACUCAACAGAAAGUAGGUAAGCAUUGAAUGAAUGCACUUGAGUUGUACAAUUUGAUGUGAUGCUUUUCUCUGUUUCAGAUUCAAGUUCCUGGUGUAGACAGAGAAAUGUGUUUGAAGAAGGAAUUCUACUACUGUGAUUCAACUCUACAGAAGCAAGGUAAGUAGAAACACAAUUUUGGUUUAAUUUAACUCAUGUGUUUUGCACUGCAUGCUAUUUUUCAGGUCUCUCAUGCAGUGAUGCAAAAGAAGAAGAUUUCAAGAAAGAAUCACUGCUGCAACUCAGGCCUAUAACAAGGUAAGUGUUUACUAUAUUGUAUACAAAAUGUUUCUCUGUUUUACUCUGUUUGAAGGUUUCAAUUGCAGAGAUGUUGCAGAGAUGUUUUGACAGCUUGUGACAGAAAAGAAAUUCAGCAGCUGUGUCUCGACUCUAGCCACGAGGUAAGUCAAAACAAAUAUACUGGUUUGUAUGUUAUGUUGUUAUGCCCUUCUAUGUUUCAGACUUACAUUGCUGUGACUGUUCCACAGUGGGUCAAAAAAGAGACGAAUACAGGCUUCAAGAAGAAAAUUGGCUGUUGAAAACCUGCACAAAAUAUGAGGUAAGUAAACUAUUCUUUUGGUUUGUUUUGUGCUUUGUUAUGCUUAACUAUUUUUCAGAUUGGAAUGGUGGGUCGUUACAGAGCAGACUUUUGGACAACUGAGAAGUUGAGAAACAGAGAAUGAUUCAAGAUCAGCUAGGUAAGUCUUGAUUAUUGUGCAUUGCUAAAUGUUUUUUUUCAUUCCAGUAUGGCUGUGGUAAGUACACAAACUUUCUAUAAUUUAAUAUUGAACUGUUUUUAUGACCUGUAUUCUGCAUUGUAAAAUGUCUGUUUUUCAUUUCAGUAUCCUGUGGUAAGUACACUAACUUUCUUUAAUUUUCAUAUUGAACUGUUUUGAUGACUUGUAUACUACUAUGCAAUGCCUAAUGUUUUUUUCAUUUCAGUUGCCUGUGGUAAGUACACUAACUUUCUUUAAUUUUCAUAUUGAACUGUUUUGAUGACUUGUAUACUACUAUGCAAUGCCUAAUGUUUUUUUCAUUUCAGUAGCCUGUUGGUAAGUACACUAACUUUCUAUAAUUUCAUAGUGAAUUGUUUUGAUGACCUGUAUUCUGCAUUGUAAAAUGUGUUUCUUUUUCAUUUCAGUAUGGCUGUGGUAAGUACAAUUGCCUUUCAUAUUGAACUGUUUUGAUGACCUGUAUUUUGCAUUGCUAAAUGUUUUUUUCAUUUCAGUAUAGCUGUGGUAAGUACACUAACUUUCUUUAAUUUUCAUAUUGAACUGUUUUGAUGACUUGUAUUCUGCUAUACAAAAUGUGCUUUUUUCAAUUUCAGGUCAGCAAUGGUAAGUAUAUUGUGUUUCUUUAUGUAUAAUUUUGUAUACAUAUUGUUUUUUUCAUCAUAGCAUGUUUUUUAUAUUUAUGCUUUGUGUAAGUAAAAUGUUCAUAAAUCAUUCUUAUCUUUAAACUAAAAAUGUAUUUUGAUAUGCAAAAUGUCUGUAUGAUUUCAGUUGCCAGAGGUGAGUACCAUUACAGUUGAAAAGUUAGUUUUGUUUAGUUAAAGUUUUGGUUCACAGUUCUGUUUAUUAUUUGGCAAAAUUUACAUGUAUGCAUUGAGUCUUGAUUUCAGCUCGAUUGUGGACUGAAGAAGAUUGCCAGCAGAGGGAUUGGAUACAAAAUACAAAGUAAGUACUGAGUUUCUUACUAAAAGUUUUGAGUUGUAUUCAUUGUGUGUUAAUAUGCUAUGAUUGCUAUGAACAUGACUUUUGUAUUUCAGCGAAGACAACAUAGGUAAGUAAAAUUGUUAUCUGUUUCAAGUUUACUGUUAUAGUUCAAUAUUGUGUUUAUAAAUUGUAAGUUGUACAAACACAUUCAAAAGUUUCUGAUCAUGCUUUCAAUUUCAUUUCAGCCCUACUACAAGACGAGUGUUUUCUACUACUAGACGUGUCAGGUUUACUUCCAGGCGAGCAGUGACAACAAGGCGCCUUUGUGGAAACAGCAAAACAAACAACUCUACUGCAAGACGAGCAGUGACAGAAAGGCGCCUGAACAUGCAACACAAUACAAAAAAUGCCAAUUUGCAAACCUUGAUGUGGACACCGAGUAGUCAAUACAUACGUGUGGCGUAUAGCUGCGACAAAACCGUGGGUCCAUCGCACCGAUAACUUGAACAUUGGCCCGUGUAUGGACAUCAGUGCAACUUUGUGAAUCCAUGUAACUUUGUGAAUCCAUGUAACAUUGCGAAUGUGUGUCGAUCGAAAAAUGUGUACAUUCUGCACUGAAACGAACUCGGUGUUGCAAGUGGCAAGUGUUGACAGUGUGUAUGUUUAUGUUUAUGUUUUUACAUGAAAAAUAAAGGAGAUUGUUCUCCUACCUUUUUUUUCCUUGUUUUAUUGUGCUGGCCAGCAAUAUUGAUGUAUUGAUGUAUUGAUGUAUGUGUUUGUGUAUUAACGAUGUAUUAACUAUGCAUUACCAAAAUCAAACAAAACUUUGGCACAAGAGACUCUAAGUAUCAAAUACCAACAAUUUAAGCGCAGACAAUCACAUGGUGGUACACCAGUCCGAAUAUACUCAUUGCUCUAGCCAGGAUUGCAAAUUACUUGUGUUGACUAGCAAGGCUCCCUAGUAACGGAGCAGUGUUACUGGCGUUUUUUGGGUCGAUAGUGCUUAGGUGAGGUUUUGCUCGAAUCGGGAGCGGGUCACUCGCUUGGGCGAGUUAGUUUUCGCUCGUAGUUUCCAAUCUGGCUAGAUCAAUGUAAGGUUGUUUUGACUGCUAUUUGGCAAGCAGAAAGACAACAGCGGUUAAUUGACUGAGUAUGGGCGACCGAGGUAUGUAGGUGUCAAUAGACCGACUCCACAAGUUGCGAAGCGAACCGAUAGCACUUGAGGGGAAACGCCUCGGUUUUCGGUUCUAACAUGUGUUAUCCAUGCUGUCGUUAUACUCUGGCAAGGCUCCUCAAUCUAUCGCGAGGGACACUCAUUAUUGCCCGCAAGCUUUAGAACCUGACGUGGGUCGAUGCGUAUGCGAGUCCGAGGACGCGAUGGCAUUUGAUAAGGCUACCAACCGGUUGAUAACACGCAUUGUUCAAAUUGUUAGGUUUAAGUCUGCUAGGGCUGGGGUGGGAA
This is a long non-coding RNA of Dreissena polymorpha, 5773 nucleotides long. RefSeq lists it as uncharacterized. The transcript has 9 exons. The record is from RefSeq and is a predicted model, not a curated record. NCBI's taxonomy places the organism in Eukaryota, Metazoa, Mollusca, Bivalvia, Myida, Dreissenidae.